This 4849-nucleotide long non-coding RNA is filed under the name Homo sapiens (human). RNAcentral describes it as "HSALNT0065633". The record is from RNAcentral. Lineage: Eukaryota; Metazoa; Chordata; Mammalia; Primates; Hominidae.
CCGGGUCUGCUUCUCAUUCUCUCAGAUAGAUUUAUAACUUAUGUAAAUAAAUGUACAUGAUUAGCCAAGUGAUUAUGUAAAUGGCGCCUUCCUUUUCUCGUCCCAAUUCUGGUGACAAUAAUGAUUAAAAGAUGGAAAAUAGAGUCAACAUGUAAAAGGUAAAGAAGCUGGAAUUUAAUCUGAAAAAGCAAGUGUAAUGCCUAUUUCACGGCAAGGUUCCAUUUGCACAAAGGAUAAAAUAAAAGAGGUCACUGACUCUCAAAUUUCCAUGAAAGCUCUAAAACGGUAGCAAAUCAGGUAAAAUCUGACUACCUAUAUUCACUGAUUUUCUCAUUAAAAUUAGUGGCUCUUAGGAAAUGGCCAGGUAGACUAAUUGCUAUACUGUAUGAAUGGCUCGUACUAUGAUUACAGUGAUAUACAGUAUAUAGCAUACACUCAAAAAAAUCCCUGAAUUUACUAAUAGACAAAAUAUCUGUGUAGAAAGAGCCACAAAUCCAACUGUUAAAUUAUUAUUUUUAAAAUUCUUGCCCAUAUUUUAAAGAAUUAAUAAAGCUAGCUUUUCAGGAACCAUGUAAGAAUAAGCAAUUGGAUUUUAAAAAUUGAAAUGGUAUUAUUAUGCUCACUCUUGUAGGCUGAACAAGAGCUACAAAAAAUUGUGUACAUCUUACAUAAUAUUUUAACUCUGGGAAGCCAAGUACAUAAUGAUCAUGAAAAUCUACUAAUUUCAAAUGCUGCUGCAGCUGAAAUUCUAUCUCCAAUUUCCACCGACUCACAUUGCCUAUUAUUUAUGAAACUGACCCGCAUCCCACCCAUGCACAAGUUCCAGGAGCCUACAGAACAUUUUGUCUAAAGUAAUAAAAACAAUAUUAGAGAACCGCUAUUGAACAUAGAAAUUAUAUUCUAUUACUUAGUUAAUAGUUGACCCCGAACUCAGAAUUUUUAAGAAAACUUCUCAACAGCACCAUCUGGUGGGCAGUGCAGCAAAAACACAAAACAAAACACAGCAAGACGAAACCCACACUCCAUACUUUGAGUUCUUGGAAGUGAUUAUCAAUUGCGCUUCAUUAAGUUUGUUUUAUUUUCCAACGUAGAGUCUACAUUAUGAGAUGUUUCCGAGGGCCAGUUGGGUAACUGACAAUUUAGUGGUAUGGCCAAGACGUUUUCUGUAACAGUUCAUAUUUCAAAUACUCAUACAUUCUAAUAACAAAUAUUCUUGAGUUUUAUAUUCUUUGUUAUGUAAUAUUAUUGUCUCGAAAAAGUGGAUUUGUAAAUUGUACAAUGAAAUGUAAUUUGAUUUUUAAUUCCUUUAAAUUUUUUUUUUUGAGGCAGAAUCCAGGCUGGAGUGCAGAGGCAUGAUCUUGGCUCAUGGCAACCUCCACCUCCUGGGUUCAAGCAAUUCUCCUGCCUCAGCCUCCUGAGUAGCUGGGACUAUGAGAUUUUUUUUUAAUGUAAGUCACAAAUCAUCAAACUUUUUUUGGAUCAUUUGUUCUAUAAUUAGGGGUGGGUAGACAAGGCGAAAGUUAGGUUACCAAUGGAAAUUUGGCUUUUACAUUUCUUACGUUAAGCUGUGCCAGGUAGUUUUGAGGCAGAUGAUGGAUGAGCAAUCUUUCUACGGCCUUCCUUCAGUGUUCUAACAUAGCCUGGGCUAAUCUCCAGCAUGCAGAACACAAGGUGGGAUCUUUUAGAAUGGCUAGUCUAAGACAAGGUAUAAACUAAGAUUUUUAUUUCUUCAACAAAUAUAUUGAGCAUCUCCGAUGUCCAGGCACUGGUCUAGGUUCCAGACACAACAACAAACAAAACACCAAAAAUGACUGCUUGUAAGGAGUUGAUAUUUUAGAGGGGGAAGCAUAGAAAGUAUUGUCAGACAGUAACUGUGCUAUGAAGAAAAUGCAAGAUCAAGGAGACAGGGAAUAUUGGGGAAGGGAAUGGUUGCUGUUGAUACGGAAUCAUCAGAGAAAGCCCUUCUAACAAGGUGACUUCAAAGCAGAAGGAAAGAAGUGAGGCAGAAAUCUGUGCAAUAGCUGAGGGAAGUGAGUUUCAGGUAGACAGAAUAGGAGGUGCAAAGGCCCUGGGGUGGGAGUUUGCUUGGCAUGUUCAGAAAAUACCAAGGAAGCCACGUUGGCUUGGACAGAGAAUGAGCAAAACAUUCAGAAGGUGAGGUCAGGGAGCUAAUGGGGUUAGAUCAUGUAGGGUCUUGUAGCAUUGUAAAGGCUGGUUUUUACUCUAAAUAAGAUAGAAAACCACGGACUAUUUUGAAUACAAGAGCUAUUCUGGCUGUUGUGUUGAUAUGGUUGUAGUAAAACAAGGGCUGAAGCAGGGAGUCCAGUUAAGACACCAUUGCCUCAGAGGAGAGGCAAUAAUAGGUUGGACCCAGUGAUAGCAGAGAAGGCAGUGAUAAAUAGUUGUAUUCUGAAUAUAUUUGCUGGUAGAGCCACCGAGAUUUACUGAUGGAUUAGAUGCGGAGAGUGAGAUAAAGAGAAGAGCUGAGGAUGACACUAAGGUGUAUGUCCUGAGCAAAUGGCAGAAUGGAGCUAUCACUUACGGAGAAUGGGGCAGAUUUACAGAAGUCUGUUUUGGGGGAGGACUGGAAGGGGGAUGGAGAAUAUCAGGAGCUCAAUUUGAACAUGUUAAGUCUUAGAUAUCCACUAGACAUCCUAACAUAAAUGUCAAAUAGACAAACAAGGGAGAGGUCUAGGCUGAAGGUACGAAUUUAGGAGUUCUCUGUGUACAGAUGAUAUUGAAAACCACGAAACUAAAUGAGAUCACUGAGACAGCAGGUAUGGAGCAUGAAAAAAAGAGAUUCAAGGCCUGGGCCCUGGGCUCUCCACUAUUUAGAGGUGGGGGAGAUAGACAACCAGUAAUGGAAACUGAGCAGGAGACCAACGAGGUGGAAGAAAUAAAGAGGCUGGUGAAGUCCUGGAAUCAGGCAAAGCAAGCUUUGUAAGGAAGAGGGAAUGAUCGAUGAGCUAAGUGAGAUGAAAACCAGGAAUUGAUCACUGGAUUCAGCAAUAAAAGUGUCACUGGUUGGCCAUGCGCGGUGGCUCACUCCUGUAAUCCCAGCACUUUGGGAGGCCGAGGCAGGUGGAUCACGAGAUUAGGAGUUCAAGAUCAGCCUGGCCAAGAUGGUGAAACCCCAUCUCUACUAAAAAUUAGCUGGGCAUGGUGGUGAGUGCCUGUAAUCCCAGCACUUUGGGAGGCCGAGGCGGGUGGAUCACGUGGUUAGGAGUUCAAGAUCAACCCGGCCAAGAUGGUGAAACCCAGUCUUUACUAAAAAUUAGCCAGGCAUGGUGGUGAGCGCCUGUAAUCCCAGCUACUUGGGAGGCUGAGGCAGAGAACUGCUUGAACCCGGGAGGCAGAGGUUGCAGUGAGCCAAGAUUGUGCCACUGCACUCCAGCCUGGGUGACAGAGCAAGACUCUGUCUAAAAAAUAAUAAAAAAAAAAGUGUCACUGGUGGACUUGACAAAGGCAGUAUUGGUAGAGUGGUGGUGAUCAAAACCUGACUGGAGUAGGUUUAAGGAAGAAUGAGAGGAAAAGAUAGGAAACAAUGAGAAAAAUCAGUAGAGAAGUUUUGCUGUGAAGAAGAAGCAAGCUGGUAGCUGGAAGGGGAAAUGGGAUCAAAUUUUUUUAAUAGAAAAAGGAUUUUUAAACAAGAUUUUAUUUAAGAUGGAAGAAAGUACAACUUUAUGUACUGAUUAGAAAGAAGCUGUAGAGAGAGGGAAGUUGAUGAAGCAGAAGAAAGGGGAGAGAAUUGCUGGGACCAGGUAUUUGAGUAGGUGAAGGGAGAUGGUAUCUAGAAUAUAGCAGAGGAGCUGAUUUUUAAUAGAUGGGCAGAUAGUUUAUUUACAGAAACAAGAGGGAAGGCAGAAUAUGUGAGCACAGAUGCAGGGAGGUGGGUAGAUGUGUUGGUGGGCACUUGAGGAAGCUCUCCUGAUUGUUUCUAUUUUCUCAGUGAAAGAAGCAAGGACAUCAGCUGAGAAGGAGGAUGGAGAAGGAGGUGACAGAAUCUGGAAGAAUAGGAGGUACGAAAGAAUCAUCUAGAGGAAUGGGGGAAUGAAUGGUCUAAAGAAAUGUGGUAGCAUGGCCUCCUUAAGGUUAAGGAGCAUACAUUUUUUAGUGAGUACAUUCUUCUCUGAAUUCCAGUAUUAACAUUCUACAUCAUUCAUUUGGCACUUGACACUCGUUACAUUCAAUUAUCGAUUAACUGUUCUUGAGAGUUCUAUCUCCCUCUUUUUCCUGAUUAUACCUCACUUGUUAGGGCCUCAACUAACAUGCCAUAAGGAAUCAUUUAAAACCACAUAACUGAGGGCUUCAGAAAAUGUGAGAACAUACGUGUGGCCCCUUGCUGCUGUGACUGUGCAGGGCGAGCCAUCUAAUUCUCCAGGGCAGUGUUAUCAAGUCCAUGGGGUUAAUCUACAUCAAACCACAUCCUCCUGCCUGUCCUCUGUCUCUAGUAAAGGUGCUAUUUUGGCCCCCAUAGUUACUUUUUGUUUUAUUUUUCAAUGUAUUCAAAAGGUGGCUGAUGCAGUCAUUUAUUAGAGACCCUCUUGAAGACCCCAAGGAGAUACAGAAGUGUUCAAUACACAUUUGAGACUAGAGGACAUGCUAAUGCAAAUGUUGAGUUUGAGAGGACUCAGGAGAAGGAUUUGGAGAGUUGAGAAAGAUCAGACAUCAGAUUAGAUGCCAUACAAUGAAAAGAGUCCACGGCCACACAGGGAUGAGUGUCCAGGUGAGGAGGGAUGCUGGGAGUUGCAGGUUUCUUGAGCAAAUUACAAAAACAGGAGCAAUGUAAGAUGAUCUGUGAACAUCACGGGACUUCCUUGGCAGCAUAUGAAGAAGCUCAUCUCCUGUA